AUGAAACAAGCCGGUAUCGCCUUUAAUUCCGCCUCAUUCAACAAUCUCCUCUCUUUCCUCAUCAAAUUCUCUCACAACAACAAUACUAAUUUCCACUUUGUUAUUGAUAUAUUGGAUUAUAUCCAGUCACAAAAGCUUCAUCCUUUAGUCUUUUAUCGGCUGAGGACUGUUCGGAUUCCAUUAUUGUUGGUUCUUCGAAUUACUUGCUUUCGGCUCUUAGGAAAGCCCGGAUGA
This is a non-coding RNA of Vicia faba (fava bean), 234 nucleotides long. The record is from the annotation of a GenBank genome assembly. NCBI's taxonomy places the organism in Eukaryota, Viridiplantae, Streptophyta, Magnoliopsida, Fabales, Fabaceae.